CUGAACGAACUUCGCAAAAAAACGUACGUAUUCUUCCUGGGAAACGACGGCAAUCCUGCAGCCAAUGCAUUGACAGAAUUUUCUACCGACAUCAAAAAUCGCUCAGCAUCGCUUAACGGCCUCCGAGCAAAGAUUAUGGAAUUAAACAAGCCUUUACGGGCUAGUCGCUAAUGUCAGUCACCAAAACAGCUUUAAGCUUUCUUCAAUUCUGAAAACUGAAACCUGCAAAAUAACUCCGCUAGUCUAAGCAGCGCAUGCAUACAAUUUUCAACUUGAGCAUUGCGUUUUAUGGUGAAAUGAUUUAUCUAAGUCCAAGUUUGACGGGAGAUGAGCUUCAGAAAGCAGUUUAGGACAUAAUCUGGGAUGCAGAGGAAACCCUGUUAAUUGUUUCGCCGUACAUAAAAUUGGACGAAUAUUUUAAGCGGCUCUUUGACAAGC
This 438-nucleotide unclassified non-coding RNA is filed under the name plant metagenome. RNAcentral describes it as "partial contains 5.8S ribosomal RNA, internal transcribed spacer 2, and large subunit ribosomal RNA". The record is from RNAcentral.